This 253-nucleotide ribosomal RNA is filed under the name uncultured bacterium. RNAcentral's name for it is "partial 16S ribosomal RNA". It matches the Rfam family "Bacterial small subunit ribosomal RNA", at positions 524 to 776 of the family's 1533-position model. The record is from RNAcentral.
UACGAAGGGUGCGAGCGUUGUUCGGAAUUACUGGGCGUAAAGGGCGCGUAGGCGGUCCUUCAAGUCAGGCGUGAAAGCCCCGGGCUCAACCUGGGAACCGCGCUUGAGACUGGCGGACUCGAGUUCGGGAGAGGAUGGUGGAAUUCCCAGUGUAGAGGUGAAAUUCGUAGAUAUUGGGAAGAACACCGAUGGCGAAGGCAGCCAUCUGGACCGACACUGACGCUGAGGCGCGAAAGCGUGGGGAGCAAACAGG